Molecule: long non-coding RNA, 860 nt
Organism: Cyprinus carpio carpio
Lineage: Eukaryota; Metazoa; Chordata; Actinopteri; Cypriniformes; Cyprinidae
Source: Ensembl
GUAUGUUAGUAAAGCUUUCCAUUCAAAGCUUUUUCACAUUUACUGUAUAAGUAAAAGGGCUUGCAGUUUGCAUGAAAUGCAUUGCAUUCCGAAAUGUUUUUUAAUUGAUGGACUGGAAUGGUGUGGAUUACUUCUGGAUUAUUAUGAUGUCUUUAUCAGCUGUUUGGACUCUCAUUCUGACGGCACCCAUUCACUGCAGAGGAUCCAUUGGUGAGCAAGUGACAUAAUGCUAAGUUUCUCCCAAUCUGUUCUGAUGAAGAAACAAACUACAUCUUGGGUGGCCUGAGGCAUUGUUCUUGGAAUUCAAGGCACUUGUUGAACUAACAUUCAUACAAUGGAUAAAUCAAAGCAUGAAGGGGAUGAGAUGGCUGGGUGUGCAAAAUAUAACUUGAUGCUUGUACAGAAUUCAAUAGUGCAUUCUGUUCAAAGUUGGAUGUGGGAUUUUCCUAUUGAUGUCGCUGACCUAUGAGCAUAAAGAUUUCGCUGUCCGACACUUCAGAGGCUCGAUGUCAAGCAAUGUCAAGAUCAUAGAUUUGAAUCAUGGAAUGCAUGAACAUGAUGAAAUGUUGUAUGCAAUGUCAUUUUGGCUAAAAUCUGCAAAUGCAUCAUGUAUAAUCCUGAUUUUCCAAGUUGGAAGUCGGACUUCAAGUGUACUUUUCAAAGUUGGAAGAUCUGGUAUGGAAGACAGCAGCUCUUUGAACGGCAUCCAUUGUAGUUCCAGCUUCCACCUAAGGAGGCACAGAGACAUCAGGAGCUAAAAACAGUGCAGGGUGACAGACCUUGAGGCUAGAUUUAUUCAUUCUGACACUGAGGGUCUUUAACGGUCACUUCUGUCAGUUGCAACAUCCAUGUUACAGAGG